CAAACUAUAGAACGGACAAAAAAAACCGUCAGAAUUUUUUUUAUCUAAUUUAAAAACUUGUUUGUUUGAGGAGAAAACGGUGGAAAAUAAAACGAUGCGAUAUGUACCUCGACGGUGUUGGGGAGGAGCAGAAGAAGCAGAAAUUUUCUGAGAUUAAAAUUGGACUGGAUGAUGCCGAAGCUUUGGUAAUAUGCUGUAUAGCAUACAAAUUUCACUUGUUUUUGCUUUUUCUGGAAAGCUUCAUGGUUUAUAUACUUUCCUUGUUUGUUUAUGUGAAUGAGUGAUGGGAUUUCUUUUGGGGGCUUAUUGGGUAGUUUCUCGUUCAAGUGUUUGAAGCAGAAACCGUUGACUACUUGAACUACCUUUGCUACUGGCUAUGACAUGAUAUGAAAACUGAACCAAAAUUGUGUAUC
Non-coding RNA from Malus domestica (apple), 413 nucleotides. The record is from RefSeq and is a predicted model, not a curated record. Lineage: Eukaryota; Viridiplantae; Streptophyta; Magnoliopsida; Rosales; Rosaceae.